GACGAACGCUGGCGGCGUGCUUAACACAUGCAAGUCGAACGGAAAGGCCCUGCUUUUGUGGGGUGCUCGAGUGGCGAACGGGUGAGUAACACGUGAGUAACCUGCCCUUGACUUUGGGAUAACUUCAGGAAACUGGGGCUAAUAUCGGAUAGGAGCUCCUGCUGCAUGGUGGGGGUUGGAAAGUUUCGGCGGUUGGGGAUGGACUCGCGGCUUAUCAGCUUGUUGGUGGGGUAGUGGCUUACCAAGGCUUUGACGGGUAGCCGGCCUGAGAGGGUGACCGGCCACAUUGGGACUGAGAUACGGACCAGACUCCUACGGGAGGCAGCAGUGGGGAAUAUUGUACAAUGGGCGGAAGCCUGAUGCAGCAACGCCGCGUGCGGGAUGACGGCCUGCGGGUUGUAAACCGCUUUCGCCUGUGACGAAGCGUGAGUGACGGUAAUGGGUAAAGAAGCACCGGCUAACUACGUG
This 468-nucleotide ribosomal RNA is filed under the name uncultured bacterium. RNAcentral's name for it is "partial 16S ribosomal RNA". It matches the Rfam family "Bacterial small subunit ribosomal RNA", at positions 28 to 507 of the family's 1533-position model. The record is from RNAcentral.